This 468-nucleotide ribosomal RNA is filed under the name uncultured bacterium. RNAcentral describes it as "partial 16S ribosomal RNA". It matches the Rfam family "Bacterial small subunit ribosomal RNA", at positions 28 to 507 of the family's 1533-position model. The record is from RNAcentral.
GACGAACGCUGGCGGCGUGCUUAACACAUGCAAGUCGAACGGAAAGGCCCUGCUUUUGUGGGGUGCUCGAGUGGCGAACGGGUGAGUAACACGUGAGUAACCUGCCCUUUACUUUGGGAUAACUUCAGGAAACUGGGGCUAAUACCGGAUAGGAGCUCCUGCUUCAUGGUGGGGGUUGGAAAGUUUCGGCGGUUGGGGAUGGACUCGCGGCUUAUCAGCUUGUUGGUGGGGUAGUGGCUUACCAAGGCUUUGACGGGUAGCCGGCCUGAGAGGGUGACCGGCCACAUUGGGAAUGAGAUACGGCCCAGACUCCUACGGGAGGCAGCAGUGGGGAAUAUUGCACAAUGGGCGGAAGCCUGAUGCAGCAACGCCGCGUGCGGGAUGACGGCCUUCGGGUUGUAAACCGCUUUCGCCUGUGACGAAGCGUGAGUGACGGUAAUGGGUAAAGAAGCACCGGCUAACUACGUG